GGAGAGUGUUUGAGGAGGGAUCUGCGGCCCAUCAGCUAGUUGGUGAGGUAACGGCUCACCAAGGCGAAGACGGGUAGGGGGUGUGAGAGCAUGGCCCCCCACAAUGGGACUGAGACACGGCCCAUACUCCUACGGGAGGCAGCAGCGGGGAAUAUUGCGCAAUGGACGGAAGUCAGACGCAGCGACGCCGCGUGGGUGAGGAAGGCCUUCGGGUUGUAAAGCCCUUUUCAGGGGAGCGAGAAAGGACGGUACCCUUGGAAUAAGCGUCGGCUAACUACGUGCCAGCAGCCGCGGUAAGACGUAGGACGCAAGCGUUAUCCGGAUUUACUGGGCGUAAAGCGCCUGUAGGCGGUCAAGUAAGUCGGAUGUGAAAGCCCCGUGCUCAACGCGGGGAAGCCAUUCGAUACUGCGUGACUAGAGAACGGCAGAGGGAAACGGAAUUUCUGGUGUAGCGGUAAAAUGCGCAGAGAUCAGAAAGAACACCGAUGGCGAAGGCAGUUUCCUAGGCCGCAUCUGACGCUGAGAGGCGAAAGCUAGGGGAGCAAACAGGAUUAGAGACCCUGGUAGUCCUAGCUGUAAACGAUGGAUGCUAGGUGUGGGCCGGAAAGGUCCGUGCCGUAGUUAACGCGAUAAGCAUCCCGCCUGGGGAGUACGGCCGCAAGGCUAAAACUCAAACGAAUUGACGGGGACCCGCACAAGCAGCGGAGCGUGUGGUUUAAUUCGAUGCUACACGCAGAACCUUACCUGGGCUUGACAUGUAGGUGGUAGUGAAGUGAAAGCGGAGCGACCCUUCGGGGAGCCUACACAGGUGCUGCAUGGCUGUCGUCAGCUCGUGCCGUGAGGUGUCGGGUUAAGUCCCGUAACGAGCGCAACCCUUGUCCUUAGUUACAAGUGUCUAAGGAGACUGCCGGUGACAAACCGGAGGAAGGUGGGGAUGACGUCAAGUCAGCAUGGCCCUUAUGUCCAGGGCGACACACACGCUACAAUGGUCGGUACAAUGGGCAGCGCAGCCGCGAGG
This 1018-nucleotide ribosomal RNA is filed under the name uncultured organism. Its description in RNAcentral is "bacterial SSU rRNA". It matches the Rfam family "Bacterial small subunit ribosomal RNA", at positions 210 to 1262 of the family's 1533-position model. The record is from RNAcentral.